Molecule: non-coding RNA, 45 nt
Filed under: Schistosoma mansoni
Lineage: Eukaryota; Metazoa; Platyhelminthes; Trematoda; Strigeidida; Schistosomatidae
Source: RNAcentral
AUUCAGCUGACUCGUCCCAAAUAGAAUGAAACUCGUGUCCUGAAU